Molecule: ribosomal RNA, 253 nt
Filed under: uncultured bacterium
Lineage: Bacteria
Description: partial 16S ribosomal RNA
Rfam family: Bacterial small subunit ribosomal RNA
Source: RNAcentral
UACGAAGGGGGCUAGCGUUGUUCGGAAUCACUGGGCGUAAAGGGCGCGUAGGCGGCUUUAUAAGUCGGGGGUGAAAGCCUGUGGCUCAACCACAGAAUUGCCUUCGAUACUGUAGAGCUUGAGACCGGAAGAGGUAAGUGGAACUGCGAGUGUAGAGGUGAAAUUCGUAGAUAUUCGCAAGAACACCAGUGGCGAAGGCGGCUUACUGGUCCGGUUCUGACGCUGAGGCGCGAAAGCGUGGGGAGCGAAUGGG